CCUACGGGUGGCUGCAGUGGGGAAUAUUGGACAAUGGGGGAAACCCUGAUCCAGCGAUGCCGCGUGAGUGACGAAGGCCUUCGGGUUGUAAAACUCUUUCACCUGUGAAGAUUAUGACGGUAGCAGGAGAAGAAGCACCGGCAAACUCUGUGCCAGCAGCCGCGGUAAUACAGAGGGUGCUAGCGUUGUUCGGAAUGACUGGGCGUAAAGGGCGCGUAGGCGGCCAUAUUAGUCGGGCGUGAAAUCCCUGGGCUUAACCCAGGAACUGCGUUCGA
This 275-nucleotide ribosomal RNA is filed under the name uncultured bacterium. RNAcentral describes it as "partial 16S ribosomal RNA". It matches the Rfam family "Bacterial small subunit ribosomal RNA", at positions 338 to 630 of the family's 1533-position model. The record is from RNAcentral.